Molecule: ribosomal RNA, 596 nt
Filed under: uncultured bacterium
Lineage: Bacteria
Description: bacterial SSU rRNA
Rfam family: Bacterial small subunit ribosomal RNA
Source: RNAcentral
AAUGCCUAGGAAUCUGCCUGGUAGUGGGGGAUAACGUUCGGAAACGGACGCUAAUACCGCAUACGUCCUACGGGAGAAAGCAGGGGACCUUCGGGCCUUGCGCUAUCAGAUGAGCCUAGGUCGGAUUAGCUAGUUGGUGAGGUAAUGGCUCACCAAGGCGACGAUCCGUAACUGGUCUGAGGGGAUGAUCAGUCACACUGGAACUGAGACACGGUCCAGACUCCUACGGGAGGCAGCAGUGGGGAAUAUUGGACAAUGGGCGAAAGCCUGAUCCAGCCAUGCCGCGUGUGUGAAGAAGGUCUUCGGAUUGUAAAGCACUUUAAGUUGGGAGGAAGGGUUGUAGAUUAAUACUCUGCAAUUUUGACGUUACCGACAGAAUAAGCACCGGCUAACUCUGUGCCAGCAGCCGCGGUAAUACAGAGGGUGCAAGCGUUAAUCGGAAUUACUGGGCGUAAAGCGCGCGUAGGUGGUUUGUUAAGUUGGAUGUGAAAUCCCCGGGCUCAACCUGGGAACUGCAUUCAAAACUGACUGACUAGAGUAUGGUAGAGGGUGGUGGAAUUUCCUGUGUAGCGGUGAAAUGCGUAGAUAUAGGAAGG